GCUUGAUUGGCUCAGUCAGUUGAGCUUCUGACUUCAACUCAGGUCAUGAUAUCACAGUUCACGAGUUCUAGCCUUGCAUUGGGCU
This 85-nucleotide transfer RNA is filed under the name Felis catus (domestic cat). It matches the Rfam family "tRNA". From Rfam's summary of the family: Transfer RNA (tRNA) molecules are approximately 80 nucleotides in length. Their secondary structure includes four short double-helical elements and three loops (D, anti-codon, and T loops). Lineage: Eukaryota; Metazoa; Chordata; Mammalia; Carnivora; Felidae. The record is from Rfam by way of RNAcentral. RNAcentral also lists the same sequence under 5 other names.